AGAGAGGUGGCUCAGCAGUUAAGAGCAGUGACUGAUGAUCUAGAAGACCUGGGUUCAAUUCCCAGGCCAUCUA
This 73-nucleotide transfer RNA is filed under the name Neotoma lepida (desert woodrat). It matches the Rfam family "tRNA". Rfam says of the family: Transfer RNA (tRNA) molecules are approximately 80 nucleotides in length. Their secondary structure includes four short double-helical elements and three loops (D, anti-codon, and T loops). Lineage: Eukaryota; Metazoa; Chordata; Mammalia; Rodentia; Cricetidae. The record is from Rfam by way of RNAcentral.